CUUUAGAAGAGGUGUACAAACAAGCUAAGUUAUAUGAACAGACUUUGUUAAUGAUGUGGAAAAGGAACAAAAUGAUUUACAAAACACCCAUAACUAAGACAGCAGAAUAUUUUCACACUAAACCAGCAGUACAGAAGAAAAACACAAAAUCUCAAACCUUCAGAAAUCAGAAGUUAUUUCAGAAGGAUAAUAAACAAUA
Molecule: long non-coding RNA, 199 nt
Filed under: Elaeis guineensis (African oil palm)
Lineage: Eukaryota; Viridiplantae; Streptophyta; Magnoliopsida; Arecales; Arecaceae
Description: long non-coding RNA (EGUI_LNC003787)
Source: RNAcentral